RNAcentral lists this transfer RNA (73 nucleotides) under Gordionus alpestris. RNAcentral describes it as "tRNA-Glu". The record is from RNAcentral. Lineage: Eukaryota; Metazoa; Nematomorpha; Gordioida; Chordodea; Parachordodidae.
AUUCAUUUAAUAUAAUAUAAAUUAUAUAGAGAUUUCAACUCUAAAAUACUUAAAUUACUUUAAGUAAUGAAUU